GGCUCAACAUAGGCCAGUGGUUAGAGCACCUGCUUUGCAUGCAGAAGGUCCCAGGUUCAACCCGUGGCGUCUCCA
Podarcis lilfordi (Lilford's wall lizard) is the source of this 75-nucleotide non-coding RNA. Lineage: Eukaryota; Metazoa; Chordata; Lepidosauria; Squamata; Lacertidae. The record is from the annotation of a GenBank genome assembly.